AGGUAAGUUGAUCCUGGAGAAGAUUGUUGAUCAUAUUCAACAAGUAUCUGACUGUUUAAACAACAGCAAGAUGUUUGAGGAAUCUGCCAUUCAAGUAUUUUCACAUCUAGAAGUUCUCUUUCAAUCAGUUUGGCCCAGUUUUCAUAAAACAGUGCUUCCAGAACCUCAUAUUCUUCCAAAAAA
Long non-coding RNA from Eurytemora carolleeae, 183 nucleotides. RefSeq lists it as uncharacterized. Lineage: Eukaryota; Metazoa; Arthropoda; Copepoda; Calanoida; Temoridae. The record is from RefSeq and is a predicted model, not a curated record. The transcript has 3 exons.